AACGAACGUUAGCGGUGUGGAUUAGGCAUGCAAGUCGAGCGCGAAAGUCCGCAAGGAUGAGUAAAGCGGCGAAAGGGUGAGUAACACGUAACCAAUCUACCCACGAGACCGGAAUAACCGGCGGAACGCUGGCUAAUGCCGGAUGGUCCUGUCGGGAGGCAUCUCCUGACACGUAAACGGUGGCGCAAGCUGCUGCUCGAGGAGGAGGUUGCGGGCUAUCAGCUAGUUGGGGGUACGGCCGUACCAAGGCGAUGACGGCUAGCUGGUCUGAGAGGACGACCAGCCACACUGGGAC
This 295-nucleotide ribosomal RNA is filed under the name uncultured bacterium. RNAcentral describes it as "partial 16S ribosomal RNA". It matches the Rfam family "Bacterial small subunit ribosomal RNA", at positions 29 to 319 of the family's 1533-position model. The record is from RNAcentral.